AACAGAACUGUCGCUUCUCUCUCUUCUCUCUGCCUCUCUCUGUUUUGAAUUGGAGAGCAGCGAGAACAGAGACCUACAUUCUCUCUGUGCUCUGUCUCUCUUUCUCCGCUGAAGCUUCGGGGGUUUAUCGAAAUUGCAGAGCAACGAGAUCUUGGUCGACGGCAUUGUGAAUCCUAGACAGCUUGAUCUUGGGACAAGAGGACAUACCCAGCGGCCGUGUCGGAGAUGAGGGUGCCCUCAGUGAUGAGAAAACCACCCUUGGUCGAUCUUUGCGCAUAGUACUCAGCAUGCGCUGGCAUUGGAAUCUCAUUUAGCGCUCUGCAUCUCGUCAGAGGCGCUAGCACUACCCUGUGAGAGAGAUCGAACUUUCCCAUCUGGCAUGGAGUGAAGAGGUUCACGGCCAUCUCGUGCGUAGCUUUACGUUCUGGUAAGAAUGAACAGCAAAGGUUGAUACUAAGAAUAUGAUGGUGAAAAUUUGAAGAUGGUGUGAUCUGAGGCUGAUCUAUAUAGCUCAUUGGUAUUUAUAGCUUGUUGUUGCCAUUUGAACAUUGCAGCAAAAACUGGGAAGAUUCGGCGUAAUUCAGUUUGAGCAUGCCAAG
This is a long non-coding RNA of Syzygium oleosum, 599 nucleotides long. RefSeq lists it as uncharacterized. NCBI's taxonomy places the organism in Eukaryota, Viridiplantae, Streptophyta, Magnoliopsida, Myrtales, Myrtaceae. The record is from RefSeq and is a predicted model, not a curated record. The transcript has 2 exons.